UUUUUGGGCUGAUUCCUUAAGAUAGAAAAAGGCUGAAAACACAAUAAGAACAGAAAAUAGAUUAGAUAAUGAUUCAGCACAAGUAGAAAUAAAGAAAGAAUUGACAGUAAGAAAUUAAAAGAUAAGUCCUAAGAAACCUUGAAAUCUCGAAAGAUCUCACAACUCCCUUCAAACGGCUCUAAUCUCCCCUCCAAAGAAUAUCAAUGGCAAGAAGAAGGUUG
Molecule: long non-coding RNA, 221 nt
Filed under: Gossypium barbadense (sea-island cotton)
Lineage: Eukaryota; Viridiplantae; Streptophyta; Magnoliopsida; Malvales; Malvaceae
Description: long non-coding RNA (GBAR_LNC006613)
Source: RNAcentral